This 435-nucleotide ribosomal RNA is filed under the name uncultured bacterium. RNAcentral's name for it is "bacterial SSU rRNA". It matches the Rfam family "Bacterial small subunit ribosomal RNA", at positions 395 to 827 of the family's 1533-position model. The record is from RNAcentral.
AGUCGCGUGAAGGAUGAAGGUCUUAUGGAUUGUAAACUUCUUUUGCAAGGGAAUAAAGUGGGGGACGUGUCCUCCUUUGCAUGUACCUUGCGAAUAAGGAUCGGCUAACUCCGUGCCAGCAGCCGCGGUAAUACGGAGGAUCCGAGCGUUAUCCGGAUUUAUUGGGUUUAAAGGGUGCGCAGGCGGGAUGUUAAGUCGGCGGUGAAAUUUUGCAGCUCAACUGUAAAAGUGCCUUCGAUACUGGCUUUCUUGAGUGUGGAUGAAGUAGGCGGAAUUUGUGGUGUAGCGGUGAAAUGCUUAGAUAUCACGAGGAACUCCGAUUGCGCAGGCAGCUUACUAAACCACUACUGACGCUCAUGCACGAAGGCGUGGGGAUCAAACAGGAUUAGAUACCCUGGUAGUCCACGCAGUAAACGAUGAUUACUAGUUGUUUGC